AUGGACAUCGACGGGGAGCCUUUGUUCAAGGACGAGCUCACCAACCAAGCCAUCGCAAACAAGAAGCGCAAAAGCAAGUGGACGAAGGCAUACACGCAACCAGAAGACAAACUCAUUUGCGAGUGUUGGAGGGACAUUGGACAAGACCCCAAGGUUGGCGCCGAGCAAAAGACAUGUACCUUUUGGCUUCAUGUUCAUCGUGAGUACCAUGAACGCAAGAAGUUCGUGCCCUACCAAAUGGAGAGCAAGCGGGGGUGGGUAUCCCUCUCGAAGCGAUGGAGGGUGAUAUAA
Molecule: ribosomal RNA, 291 nt
Filed under: Triticum aestivum (bread wheat)
Lineage: Eukaryota; Viridiplantae; Streptophyta; Magnoliopsida; Poales; Poaceae
Description: partial small subunit ribosomal RNA
Source: RNAcentral